Molecule: ribosomal RNA, 514 nt
Filed under: uncultured Bacteroidota bacterium
Lineage: Bacteria; Pseudomonadati; Bacteroidota
Description: bacterial SSU rRNA
Rfam family: Bacterial small subunit ribosomal RNA
Source: RNAcentral
UCAGGAUGAACGCUAGCUACAGGCUUAACACAUGCAAGUCGAGGGGCAGCGGGAUUGAAGCUUGCUUCAAUUGCCGGCGACUGGCGCACGGGUGAGUAACGCGUAUCCAACCUUCCGUACACUCAGGGAUAGCCUUUCGAAAGAAAGAUUAAUACCUGAUGGUAUGAUGAGAUUGCAUGAUAGCAUCAUUAAAGAUUUAUCGGUGUACGAUGGGGAUGCGUUCCAUUAGGUAGUAGGCGGGGUAACGGCCCACCUAGCCAACGAUGGAUAGGGGUUCUGAGAGGAAGGUCCCCCACAUUGGAACUGAGACACGGUCCAAACUCCUACGGGAGGCAGCAGUGAGGAAUAUUGGUCAAUGGACGAGAGUCUGAACCAGCCAAGUAGCGUGAAGGAUGAAGGUCCUACGGAUUGUAAACUUCUUUUAUAAGGGAAUAAACCCUCCCACGUGUGGGAGCUUGUAUGUACCUUAUGAAUAAGCAUCGGCUAACUCCGUGCCAGCAGCCGCGGUAAUACG